AUCCUUUGGUUCAUGAGUGUGGUAAUGGGGAGUUCAUGCCACAUGCAUGAGAUGUGCCUCACUCAAACCUAGUUGCGACAUCCCAUUGCCCAUCUGAUG
Heterocephalus glaber (naked mole-rat) is the source of this 99-nucleotide small nucleolar RNA. Lineage: Eukaryota; Metazoa; Chordata; Mammalia; Rodentia; Bathyergidae. The record is from Ensembl.